RNAcentral lists this long non-coding RNA (861 nucleotides) under Mus caroli (Ryukyu mouse). Its description in RNAcentral is "lncRNA (MGP_CAROLIEiJ_G0004175.1)". Lineage: Eukaryota; Metazoa; Chordata; Mammalia; Rodentia; Muridae. The record is from RNAcentral.
AUACUGAAGGUGCCAGAAGAUCAAGGUCACGGAGCUGCUAGUAUCUUAAAUAAGUGGAUAAAAAUCUGGAGGACUUAAAUAAUCCAGGUGGUCAGAAAUGCAGUGCUGAUUAUAAUUCAAACUCAGCUUAGGAGGCAGCUUCUCUUCCUUGGAAUACCCUGUUAGACAACACAGGCUGUGUAGAGGUUGUCUAUGGCAGCCCUGUGCUGAAGAUCACGUACUAGAAACAGUUCAAGGAAAGGCAGUCUUUGAUAUUUGACCUUCAUCUGUGUCUUGGAUUGUGGUAACUUUCAAAGAAGACUUAGGCUUCUAGGAAACAUGAAACCUGAAGGAUUUCUCUGUCACAGAGCACCUCUGGCCUGUAUUGAUAUAGUUUACCUCCUGAACUUAUAGAAGACCAUCUAAACACCACAUUCUCCUUUAUGCAAUUCAGAGGCAGUUUUGGAUUACAGAAAGUCAAGUCAGUAGAGUCAGGCUUGCAGGGCCAUGUCUGGAUGAUGUCAGGGAUAGACCGUAUUCCUUCAUUGUGGAUCAGAAUGAUGAGGACAAGCGAAAGAACACUCAGAGCCUGUAUGUUUGCAGGUUGAUUCUGCACUGCAACAAUAGAAACUCUGGUUCCCAGGAGAGCAGCAAAGUGAAAUGGUUGAUUACACUUCUAAAUGUUUGACCUUGGUUUUAUAUAUAUAGUUUUCAUUUGUGCAAACAAAUGAAAGAAAUAAGCACAUAUACAUAUAUACAUGCUUGUUUAUCCACAGUAAACACCUGGAAUGGCACAGACCCACAGUGCUUUUGAGGACAAAAGGUUUGCUGCAGAAAGUUCUAAUUUUUUAUUUAAUACCAACAUGCCCUUGUAGGAAAUGU